AGCGUAGGCGGACAUUUAAGUCAGGGGUGAAAUCCCGGGGCUCAACCUCGGAAUUGCCUUUGAUACUGGGUGUCUUGAGUAUGAGAGAGGUAUGUGGAACUCCGAGUGUAGAGGUGAAAUUCGUAGAUAUUCGGAGGAACACCAGUGGCGAAGGCGACAUACUGGCUCAUUACUGACGCUGAGGCUCGAAAGCGUGGGGAGCAAACA
This 207-nucleotide ribosomal RNA is filed under the name uncultured bacterium. RNAcentral's name for it is "partial 16S ribosomal RNA". It matches the Rfam family "Bacterial small subunit ribosomal RNA", at positions 568 to 774 of the family's 1533-position model. The record is from RNAcentral.